UACAGAGGGUGCGAGCGUUGUCCGGAAUCACUGGGCGUUAAAGGGCGCGUAGGUGGUUGGCUUAAGCGUGCGGUGAAAGCUCGGGGCUCAACCCCGGAGUCGGCCGUGCGAACUGGGCUCACUGGAGCAUAGUAGAGGCAGGUGGAAUUCCGGGUGUAGCGGUGGAAUGCGUAGAGAUCCGGAAGAACACCGGUGCGAAGGCGGCGACCUGGGCCAAUAUUGACGCUGAGGUGCGAAAGCGUGGGGAGCGAAACAGG
RNAcentral lists this ribosomal RNA (257 nucleotides) under uncultured bacterium. RNAcentral describes it as "partial 16S ribosomal RNA". It matches the Rfam family "Bacterial small subunit ribosomal RNA", at positions 524 to 776 of the family's 1533-position model. The record is from RNAcentral.